Non-coding RNA from Salmo salar (Atlantic salmon), 55 nucleotides. The record is from Rfam. Lineage: Eukaryota; Metazoa; Chordata; Actinopteri; Salmoniformes; Salmonidae.
UGAAUGCACUAACUGUAAGUCGCUCUGGAUAAGAGCAUCUGCUAAAUGACUAAAA